UACGAAGGGGGCGAGCGUUGUUCGGAUUUACUGGGCGUAAAGGGCGCGCAGGCGGCGGAUCAAGUCAGACGUGAAAGCCCCGGGCUUAACCUGGGAACUGCGUUUGGGACUGAUUUGCUAGAGAUCGGGAGAGGAGAGUGGAAUUCCCAGUGUAGAGGUGAAAUUCGUAGAUAUUGGGAAGAACACCGGUGGCGAAGGCGGCUCUCUGGACCGAUACUGACGCUGAGUGAGCGAAAGCUAGGGGAGCAAACGGG
Molecule: ribosomal RNA, 254 nt
Filed under: uncultured bacterium
Lineage: Bacteria
Description: partial 16S ribosomal RNA
Rfam family: Bacterial small subunit ribosomal RNA
Source: RNAcentral